This 481-nucleotide ribosomal RNA is filed under the name uncultured bacterium. RNAcentral describes it as "partial 16S ribosomal RNA". It matches the Rfam family "Bacterial small subunit ribosomal RNA", at positions 28 to 507 of the family's 1533-position model. The record is from RNAcentral.
GAUGAACGCUGGCGGCGUGCUUAACACAUGCAAGUCGAACGAAGCACUUUAUUUGAUUUCCUUCGGGACUGAUUAUUUUGUGACUGAGUGGCGGACGGGUGAGUAACGCGUGGGUAACCUGCCUUGUACAGGGGGAUAACAGUUGGAAACGGCUGCUAAUACCGCAUAAGCGCCCAGCAUCGCAUGAUGCAGUGUGAAAAACUCCGGUGGUAUAAGAUGGACCCGCGUUGGAUUAGCUAGUUGGUGAGGUAACGGCCCACCAAGGCGACGAUCCAUAGCCGACCUGAGAGGGUGACCGGCCACAUUGGGACUGAGACACAGCCCAAACUCCUACGGGAGGCAGCAGUGGGGAAUAUUGCACAAUGGGCGAAAGCCUGAUGCAGCGACGCCGCGUGAGCGAAGAAGUAUUUCGGUAUGUAAAGCUCUAUCAGCAGGGAAGAUAAUGACGGUACCUGACUAAGAAGCACCGGCUAAAUACGUG